CACCGCCUGGGGAGUACGACCGCAAGGUUAAAACUCAAAUGAAUUGACGGGGACCCGCACAAGUAGUGGAGCAUGUGGUUUAAUUCGAAGAUACGCGCAGAACCUUACCAACACUUGACAUGUUCGUCGCGACUUUAAGAGAUUAAAGUUUUCGGUUCGGCCGGACGAAACACAGGUGCUGCAUGGCUGUCGUCAGCUCGUGUCGUGAGAUGUUGGGUUAAGUCCCGCAACGAGCGCAACCCUCACUUUUAGUUGCCAUCAUUNAGUUGGGCACUCUGAAAGAACUGCCAGUGAUAAGCUGGAGGAAGGUGGGGAUGACGUCAAGUCCUCAUGGCCCUUACGUGUUGGGCUACACACGUGCUACAAUGGUAUCUACAACAGGAAGCAAGACGGCGACGUUAAGCAAAUCCUUAAAAGAUACCUAAGUUCGGAUUGCACUCUGCAACUCGAGUGCAUGAAGCUGGAAUUACUAGUAAUCGUGGAUCAGCGUGCCACGGUGAAUGCGUUCCCGGGUCUUGUACACACCGCCCGUCACACCAUGGGAGUUGGUUCUACCUUAAGGCAAGGUUUCAAACCCUUGACCACGGUAUAGUCAGCGACUGGGGUGAAGUCGUAACAAGGUAGCCGUAGGGGAACCUGCGGCUGGAUUACCUCCUUUCUAAGGAUGAAUAAAAGUAAAAUUUUAUUCUAAAUAAUAUACAUAGGUAAUGUUGACCGUCCUCAUUUCUCUUCUUAAAGUAGUGUUUCUCUUGCAUGGGGGCCGGUAGCUCAGUUGGUUAGAGCACACCCUUGAUAAGGGUGGGGUCGAAAGUUCGAGUCUUUCUCGGCCCACCAACCUAAGAUAAGGGGGGAUUAGCUCAGCUGGGAGAGCGCCUGAUUUGCAUUCAGGAGGUCAGCGGUUCGAUCCCGCUAUCCUCCACCAAAAACACUUAGUUAUAAAAAAUUGUAAAAAAAAUAAUUAAUAUCAAUAUCUAUAUCCGAACAUUAGUUAUAUUAUUAGCUAGUGUUCAAAAUAAAAAUUUGAUUCAACACAGAAUUUUUUUCUG
RNAcentral lists this small RNA (1046 nucleotides) under uncultured Pelagibacterales bacterium. RNAcentral's name for it is "bacterial SSU rRNA". The stretch from base 1 to 658 matches the Rfam family "Bacterial small subunit ribosomal RNA", at positions 867 to 1533 of the family's 1533-position model. The record is from RNAcentral. Lineage: Bacteria; Pseudomonadati; Pseudomonadota; Alphaproteobacteria; Candidatus Pelagibacterales.